CCUACGGGAGACAGCAGUAGGGAAUUUUCGGCAAUGGGGGGAACCCUGACCGAGCAACGCCGCGUGAACGAAGAAGUUAUUCGUAAUGUAAAGUUCUUUUAACAGGGAAGAAAGAGAAAUUUGACGGUACCUGAAGAAUAAGCUCCGGCUAACUACGUGCCAGCAGCCGCGGUAAUACGUAGGGAGCGAGCGUUAUCCGGAAUUAUUGGGCGAAAAGGGUGCGUAGAUGGCAUAGUAAGUCUUUUGUAAAAAUGCUGGGCUCAACCCAGUAGGGCAAAAGAUACUGCAAAGCUAGAGUAUGACAGAGGCAAGGGGAACUACAUGUGUAGCGGUAAAAUGCGUAAAUAUAUGUAAGAACACCAGUGGCGAAGGCGGCUUGCUGGGUCGAUACUGACAUUGAGGCACGAAAGCGUGGGGAGCAAACAGGAUUAGAUACCCCUGUAGUC
Molecule: ribosomal RNA, 446 nt
Filed under: uncultured bacterium
Lineage: Bacteria
Description: partial 16S ribosomal RNA
Rfam family: Bacterial small subunit ribosomal RNA
Source: RNAcentral